CAUCAAUUUCUAUAAGAAAUUUGGGUUUGAGAUUACAGAAACCAUUCAGAACUAUUAUGCAAACAUUACUCCGCCAGAUUGCUAUGUUCUUACCAAGUUAAUCGCUCAAACUCAGACCAAGAAGUAACCUUUCCAACUCCUGAGUUGUGUCCUACACAAUUGUUUUGAACCCCUUCCUUUUCCUCCCUGUGAAUUUAGUUAGUCAAUUUGG
This 211-nucleotide unclassified non-coding RNA is filed under the name Hevea brasiliensis (rubber tree). Lineage: Eukaryota; Viridiplantae; Streptophyta; Magnoliopsida; Malpighiales; Euphorbiaceae. The record is from RNAcentral.